CCUACGGGUGGCAGCAGUGAGGAAUAUUGGUCAAUGGGCGCUAGCCUGAACCAGCCAAGCAGCGUGAAGGAUGACUGCCCUAUGGGUUGUAAACUUCUUUUAUAUGGGAAUAAAAUGUUCCACGUGUGGGAUUUCGUAUGUACCUUAUGAAUAAGGAUCGGCUAACUCCGUGCCAGCAGCCGCGGUAAUCCGGAGGGUCCGAGCGUUAUCCGGAUAUAUUGGGUUUAAAGGGUGCGUAGGGGGAUUGUUAAGUCAGUUGUGAAAGUUUGCGGCUCAACCGUAAGAUUGCAGUUGAAACUGGCAGGCUUGAGUACGGUAGGGGGGAGCGGGAUUCGUGGGGGAGCGGUGAAAUGCU
This 355-nucleotide ribosomal RNA is filed under the name uncultured bacterium. RNAcentral's name for it is "partial 16S ribosomal RNA". It matches the Rfam family "Bacterial small subunit ribosomal RNA", at positions 338 to 690 of the family's 1533-position model. The record is from RNAcentral.